Molecule: non-coding RNA, 194 nt
Filed under: Mediterraneibacter torques
Lineage: Bacteria; Bacillati; Bacillota; Clostridia; Lachnospirales; Lachnospiraceae
Also listed under: 1 other name
Source: RNAcentral
GUACCGGACUUUAGAUAAGGUUAGGUUACUUUGAGAUAUCUGUGAGGAAGUCAGGUGAGAAUCCUGCACAAUACCCGUUGCUGUAUUGGAGGAGCGGUAUUCCAUAUUGCCACUGCGGAAUAAGAUUCUGUGGGAAGGCGGAAUAUUUGCAUCGAUCCCUAAGUCAGAAUAUUCACUUUCAAAUGAGUCCGUAG